UUUGGGUUCAGAUUGUUUUCAAGCUCGUAUUUUUUUAAAUUUGGGCUCGGAUGAAGCUGCACGAACUAUAAUCAGUUCAAAUAAUUUUGAAUUUCUAAGUUAUAAAUAUUUUUAUUUUAAAUAUAAUAAUUCAUUUUACUUCAAUAAUAAUGCAAUUUAGAUUUGUCCUACGGAAAAUAUAGAGGUUUUUUUUUUAACAUAAA
This 203-nucleotide long non-coding RNA is filed under the name Gossypium raimondii (Peruvian cotton). RNAcentral's name for it is "long non-coding RNA (GRAI_LNC004940)". Lineage: Eukaryota; Viridiplantae; Streptophyta; Magnoliopsida; Malvales; Malvaceae. The record is from RNAcentral.